GGAAGUGUCGCCUAGUGGCCAAUGGCAGCGGUUUGCUAAAUCGCGACCCGCAAGGGUCCCGUGGGUUCGAAUCCCACCACUUCCG
This 85-nucleotide transfer RNA is filed under the name Pseudomonadota bacterium. RNAcentral describes it as "tRNA-Ser". It matches the Rfam family "tRNA". From Rfam's summary of the family: Transfer RNA (tRNA) molecules are approximately 80 nucleotides in length. Their secondary structure includes four short double-helical elements and three loops (D, anti-codon, and T loops). The record is from RNAcentral. RNAcentral also lists the same sequence under 1 other name. Lineage: Bacteria; Pseudomonadati; Pseudomonadota.